RNAcentral lists this ribosomal RNA (492 nucleotides) under uncultured bacterium. Its description in RNAcentral is "partial 16S ribosomal RNA". It matches the Rfam family "Bacterial small subunit ribosomal RNA", at positions 29 to 507 of the family's 1533-position model. The record is from RNAcentral.
AGUGAACGCUGGCGGUAGGCCUAACACAUGCAAGUCGAACGGCAGCACAGUAAGAGCUUGCUCUUACGGGUGGCGAGUGGCGGACGGGUGAGGAAUACAUCGGAAUCUACUUUUUCGUGGGGGAUAACGUAGGGAAACUUACGCUAAUACCGCAUACGACCUACGGGUGAAAGCAGGGGAUCUUCGGACCUUGCGCGAUUGAAUGAGCCGAUGUCGGAUUAGCUAGUUGGCGGGGUAAAGGCCCACCAAGGCGACGAUCCGUAGCUGGUCUGAGAGGAUGAUCAGCCACACUGGAACUGAGACACGGUCCAGACUCCUACGGGAGGGAGCAGUGGGGAAUAUUGGACAAUGGGCGCAAGCCUGAUCCAGCCAGACCGCGUGGGUGAAGAAGGCCUUCGGGUUGUAAAGCCCUUUUGUUGGGAAAGAAAAGCAGCAGGUUAAUACCCCGCUGUUCUGACGGUACCCAAAGAAUAAGCACCGGCUAACUUCGUG